CAGUUGUGUGGGUGUGUGCCUGGAGAAAGGCCCCAGUCGUUGGCAAAGCUUUGUUUUUAGCAACAGCGUGAAAGUUACUUGUCCUAUUGGAGAAUGAUGAAGAAGAAGAAGAAGAACUUGUCCUAUGAUUAUGAUGUUCCCGACACUGGUCCACGCACCCUUCACCUGUCUGCCCAGUCGCUGAUACAGCUGGCGCCUCGCUGUCAGAAAAUGGGGGACCAGAGACAGUUUCCAACAGUUCGCAACAAGAACUGGGGAUUUUUUUUCCCAUGCUGUUUUUCACUAUGACUUCGUUCAGUACUUUUGUACCAUAGCUUUAUGAGCAUUGAUGCUGUGUUACUGUUACUUGGACCUCAUUGAUGGGGAGAAUAUAUAUCUGCUACAUCUAUAGAUACUAUCUAUAGAUGUAGGCUGGUCGGAGGAAACCGUGAACAUUUCACUGAACCUCGAACCGAGACAUUAGCAAAAAUAGUCGGUGAGAUCAAUUCUUGUUGAUUUUGAGUUAUAAUGCAUACCAGGGAAUUCACCAACCAUUUUAGAAAAUAAUUCUUGAACUGUUUCUUGUAGAACACACUGUAAAUUUAUUUCCAAUUUGCUUUCACAUAUUCGGCUAGGGCCCAUGGUCCUUUUUAAAAAUCAAAUAUCUAUCUCUCCUUCUUUUUUGUGUUUGUUACUCUCUUGCAACACCUCUGAACUUCAGCAUUUAUUGCGUUGCAAGUGCCGUAAUAUGUUUACCAUAACAACAAAUUUUAUUAUUUUCAUUAUAAAAACAUUUGUUGCCAAAUGAUGCCUAGUAAUUAACUGUAAUGCUUAUUUUGGUGAAAUAUUGUGUGACUUUUUAAUAAACUUCAAGACAAAGGUGAACAAA
Long non-coding RNA from Aplysia californica (California sea hare), 868 nucleotides. RefSeq lists it as uncharacterized. The transcript is spliced from 2 exons. Lineage: Eukaryota; Metazoa; Mollusca; Gastropoda; Aplysiida; Aplysiidae. The record is from RefSeq and is a predicted model, not a curated record.